Molecule: long non-coding RNA, 1649 nt
Filed under: Homo sapiens (human)
Lineage: Eukaryota; Metazoa; Chordata; Mammalia; Primates; Hominidae
Description: long non-coding RNA NONHSAT173324.1
Source: RNAcentral
CUCUCUCGGUGACUUCUGUAUUAAAUUUGUUCAGUUUGCUGGUCACAAGCUGGUAUUUCAGAUGGAAUGACUUGGCAGCUAGCUCCUCUGGGCCUCUAAGCCCAGCUGUGGUCUCCAGUCAGCAACCAGGAAGUUGGGAGGGGCUCUAGGAUGGCAGGGGAGACCAUGGCUUUGAGUUCUUCUUUGAUUCAUGCACCCCAUCUUUGCUUGAUCAGGGAGAUACAAAGCACAGAUCCACUGUUGGGCAACCAUGAUGGGCCACCUGCCAAGGAGAUGGGAGAACCAGGGCCUGGAAAGGAGGAGCAUCUGCGAAGCACAGCCUGAACCAUGAAGCCUCCCCAGGCAUCAAGUCACCCAGGGGGCUGUGGACUGCGGGGGAGUGUUGUGGGGUGAGGAGCCUGGGGCUCAGACCAGCCUGCGGUAAGCAUCCUCCUACACCAAGGAGCCAAAAUGACUGCACAGUGCGAGGGCGGCGAUGCAGGCUUGGAAAACAAAACCCGCCUCCUCUCUGUCUCCUCUGAUGGGAAGCCAGGGCCAAUGGAGGGGUCUGGUUCAGGGCCCAGAGCCACCAAAACCACUUGGCUCUUGAAUGAUCUGACUUGAGGGCUAACCUAAGCCUUGUGAAAUCCCAAGAGAAUAACCUCAGGUUCUUUAAUUCUAGUGCAGACUUUAGAUGCUGUUGGAAGAGAAGAAAAGGAAAUAGUGACCCAAGUCAGUAAUUGUACUUUCCAGUAGUCCCAAAGCAUAGUUUAUAUGAGCAUCCUAUAAGAGGCCACUGGCAUCUUAAUAAAGGUAGUUAAUAGUACACAUUGCUAGUCAGUAACAGCCACACCUUGCACCCAUUUGAUAGAACCCCAAGGGUCAGAAGAUGAUCUACUGAAUAUGGCCCAGCAGGGUAACAGGAACCGAGGGGUCCUUGAAGACAGCGUCCAGCCAGGGCAUCCAAUCUGGAAUUUCCCCUCACCUACAGAUCUCUGAGUAAGAUAAAUAUUUCAUUUUGCAAGCUCUGUGUUUUGUUACUUGCAGCUAAGAGCAUUCUAACUCACAUAAUUUCUUCAGAGACACUUCUGUAAUAUGCCUACUUCUGAAUGAACUCAUGCUUCCCACACUACCCCUUGAAUACUUCUUUUACGGAGUUUACCAUUGCCUAUUUGUCUUACAUCUGUCAUACAUCUAUGAGCUCUUUGAAGACAGGGAUAGUGUCUUAUAUUCCAUCUAUUCAAAUCCCCAAUUAAGUAUAUAAAUGGAUAAAUACGUGUAGUCAAUUACUUUGGAAAUUAGAUAUUGUUGUGAGUAUAACAGGGUGUGUUUCUUGGGUGGCCCGUAAGGUCAACAGGGAGAUUUCCUUGUCCCAGAAUUAAAUGAGGAAGGUCGACUUCUGCUCCAGCCUUGAAAACUCUCGUGAGGAUGGAAGCAUGUUCAUUAUUUGUCAGUAUAAUUUAAACUCGAUUAAAGUUCCACCUCCCCAAAAAAAUGACACAAGGAAAACUUGAUAUCUAGUGCUGAUGAAUUAUGUGUUCCUGGGUCUUUUCUCCCCCCAUCUUCACUUCUUAUCUGCACAAAAGAAUGUUCUUUUUGUUUUUGACUGACUUUACCAGAAGUCACACUUGUAUGGGUAUAAAAAACUAAUAAAAGUGUCUAAGUCAAGG